GAUGAACGCUGGCGGCGUGCCUAAUACAUGCAAGUCGAGCGAACAGAUAAGGAGCUUGCUCCUUUGACGUUAGCGGCGGACGGGUGAGUAACACGUGGGUAACCUACCUAUAAGACUGGGAUAACUUCGGGAAACCGGAGCUAAUACCGGAUAAUAUUUCGAACCGCAUGGUUCGAUAGUGAAAGAUGGUUUUGCUAUCACUUAUAGAUGGACCCGCGCCGUAUUAGCUAGUUGGUAAGGUAACGGCUUACCAAGGCGACGAUACGUAGCCGACCUGAGAGGGUGAUCGGCCACACUGGAACUGAGACACGGUCCAGACUCCUACGGGAGGCAGCAGUAGGGAAUCUUCCGCAAUGGGCGAAAGCCUGACGGAGCAACGCCGCGUGAGUGAUGAAGGUCUUCGGAUCGUAAAACUCUGUUAUUAGGGAAGAACAUACGAGUAAGUAACUGUGCACGUCUUGACGGUACCUAAUCAGAAAGCCACGGCUAACUACGUG
Molecule: ribosomal RNA, 497 nt
Filed under: uncultured bacterium
Lineage: Bacteria
Description: partial 16S ribosomal RNA
Rfam family: Bacterial small subunit ribosomal RNA
Source: RNAcentral